Molecule: ribosomal RNA, 301 nt
Filed under: uncultured bacterium
Lineage: Bacteria
Description: partial 16S ribosomal RNA
Rfam family: Bacterial small subunit ribosomal RNA
Source: RNAcentral
CAGCAGCCGCGGGAAUACGUAGGGUGCAAGCGUUAAUCGGAAUUACUGGGCGUAAAGCGUGCGCAGGCGGUUAUUCAAGACAGAUGUGAAAUCCCCGGGCUCAACCUGGGAACUGCAUUUGUGACUGGAUGACUAGAGUACGGCAGAGGGGGAUGGAAUUCCGCGUGUAGCAGUGAAAUGCGUAGAUAUGCGGAGGAACACCGAUGGCGAAGGCAAUCCCCUGGGCCUGUACUGACGCUCAUGCACGAAAGCGUGGGGAGCAAACAGGAUUAGAUACCCCAGUAGUCCCUGUCUCUUAUAC